UAUAUAUAAAUAUCUUAUAAGAUUAUUUCUCUCCCAGAUUAAUGAAACAAGAAGUAGAAAUACAUAAUUCUCACAUGUGUCAAGAUGUAAUGUAAAUUUAUUCACAAUCGUACAGAUCCUUGUUCUUGUAUAUGUAACAAAGUAUCUCUUACUAGUUUAAACAUUUCUUUUUAAGAGUAUAAAACAUGUUAGUAAUCUUUCACUCGAUCAGUAUCUGAGAUAGAAUUUAAAAAAUGCGAAUUUAACUUAGUCAUAAACUCAAAAAAUAUUGAUAUGCUUUUUAAAUUUAUAACGAAAGUCUUCGCGAUGGGAAGAUGAUGCGGCUCGUUUGUUCCGGACGAUCCGUUCGGAUGAACCGUCCAAUGAACGCCAUGAUCAAUCAGGAAGUCGAAAUUGGUGGAAGAUUAUCUCGGUUGGGGUGCUUACGUCUCGCCUCUGUCGGCACAAACUGUUAAUAGAGAAAACAAUUCAUCAUAAUUUGGCGGCCGCCGCGGGACGCCUUUAUUCAUGGUGGUCCACUGUAAGAAUGUAAAGUUUACACGAUGAUGUCGGUUACUCUUACAUGCGUUUCGGUUACCGGUAUUAAUGCCUCGACCGAUUUAUUGCAUACCUAUCUACGAAAAUGAAUAAUCAGCGAGCCAAUUCAUUUUUUAGAGCAUCGUAUUUUUGAUAUUUUUCAAUCCGUUUUUUGAAAAGUUACUUUUUACAAAUGUUAUUGAUCGAUUGUAAAGAAUAUAUAAUUUGCGUUUUUUAAACAAUUAAAAUUAUGAAAAAAAGAAAUCUUUAAUGAAAAAUUUCACAUAACACAUUAAUUGAGAAAUAUUACUCCAUCCAAUGAUAUUAAACAUGUAUCGUCACAAAAUACGGUGGCACGGUACGCGUAUAAUAUAAUAUAAUUUCCGCAAAAUAUAAUAAUAUAAUAAACUACAAACAGAAAAAGAAAGAGAGAUGUAGAGAGGAAGCACCAAGGAGGGUUCGCGGUGGCAGCAGCGAAAGCAGAUUAGCGUGAAUAAUGAAGACACGACCCCGUGAAAGCCUAAGCGGGCCUCCUUAAGUCUGUUCCUUCGAGUAGAAGCCGAAGCCGGAAAGAGAGGAUGCUGAGGAAAGGAGGUGGAGCGGGCAGAAAGGACGUAGAAGCAGUUAAUUACUCCUCCCAUCCACGGGAUAACGACUUCCCCUUAUUUGUCGAGAGGCGCAAACAGCCAACCCUCUGCGAAAUCCCUCGCCAAGACGCUUUCUCCAGCAUCAAGGACCAUCCGGUCUAUCCUGAAGUACCGUUUCGCAUCGAUCAGUACUUCGCGACGAAGAGCCUGAUGUCAUCUAGUUACGAAGAUGCAGUCCCUUAAUUCAAGAUAGAUCGAGUUCAGGACGCUGGUUAAACGAUCGAAAUGCAGGAUAUUUCAAGAGAAAGAUAAUUCAGCCAAACCUAGAAGAGAUCUGAGUCAUCUAAAUGUUAUGAAAAUGACGAUAAUAAAAAGAAUCGAAUGCCGAAUGGGAACUAGAUCCAUCUUUCAUCUGACUUCAUCUGUAUGAUAUAUUCUCGCUUCAACGGGAUCAUUUCAAGAUACAGGACGCAAAGUCAUCGUCAACCGUCGCUCGCUAAGUCGAGGAGCCCAUUGACAGCUACAGGACGAAGCGGUAACACAUGUUACGCCGGGACCGUGCACGGAACAUGCCAUGCAACGAAACAAAUGUUAGGCACACAUGCACCGCGGGCGAUGUCGGGCUAACGAUCGGGCUUCCUCCGCCGCAUCUGCACCUGUUACUCGGAUCCUAUGGUCGCGUCGAUGCACGCGAGCCGCAUAUGCCGAUGGCCUUCUUCAGAAACAAACCGCCUAAGGCUCCACUCCUCCCUCCAACUUCCAUAGAUCCUGGAGCCAGAAAGGUAGGGUAUCCUACAUUCUACGUCUUAACAAUUCGUAAAAAGAAAAAGAAAUAGACGCGGAUUAGAAGAAACCAAUUAAUUUCGCGAAAUUAAAUCUCCGAUCAUUGAAAUCAAUUAAAUCUAAAAACGCAUUCGGAUUUCAUCAAUAAGUCUAAAGGAAAUUAAUUGUCCCAUUAUAGAGAUGUGUAUAAACGCAAAAUAUAAUCGUUCGCCACGCUCGAGCCUCGCGAGGGCGCUCAGAUAAUUGCGUAAAUUAUAGAUGCGAUUAGUUUUAUUAGAGAGAGAAAGAGAGAGAGAGAGAGCUAGCUACAUCAUCGAUAUUAAUGACACGAUCUAUAAAAUUUUCCAUCGAUUAGGUUCGCCGUGACGGCGCAACCUUCUCCCUAUCUCCAGGAGAGUCCGUAAUCGUAAUUAACAUCUCUCUCUUUCUCUCGACCGUUCCGUUUUAUCGCGUUACUCCGCUUAGAGAAAAGUCGCCGACAAGUCGCUCACGCACGACGAGUCAGCGUAAUAACGGCCGCUUUGAACUGACCACGGGCGCGAGA
Cataglyphis hispanica is the source of this 2430-nucleotide long non-coding RNA. RefSeq lists it as uncharacterized. The record is from RefSeq and is a predicted model, not a curated record. NCBI's taxonomy places the organism in Eukaryota, Metazoa, Arthropoda, Insecta, Hymenoptera, Formicidae. The transcript has 4 exons.